RNAcentral lists this antisense RNA (497 nucleotides) under Actinoplanes derwentensis. RNAcentral's name for it is "Saccharopolyspora sRNA 350". It matches the Rfam family "Saccharopolyspora sRNA 350". The record is from Rfam by way of RNAcentral. Lineage: Bacteria; Bacillati; Actinomycetota; Actinomycetes; Micromonosporales; Micromonosporaceae.
UUGGCGGUGUAGUCCCAGAUGGUGUCGUCCUCGACGAGUACCCGGUCGCCGAACAUCUCCCCGUCGGCGAGUACGCCGAUGCUGACCGGGUCGCCGUACGCGCCGACCCCGAUCUUGUCGACCUUGCCGUGCGCGAUCAGGUACAGGUUGUCGGACAUCGAACCGAACUCGACGAUGACCUGGCCCUGCUCGUACUCCCGCUGGACGAACCGUUCGGCGAUGCCGCGCAGCAGGUCCUCGUCGUCGAUCGCGGCGAGGAUCGCGAUCUCCCGGAGUUCGGCCGGGACGACGUGCACCGACGCGCCGGUGUUGGUGAAGGUGAGCCGGCCGUCCCCCAGCCGGUAUGUCAUCCGGCGGUUCACCCGAUAGGUGCCGCCGCCGACCUCGACCCAGGGCAGCUUGCGCAGCAGCCACCGGGAGGAGAUCUCCUGCAUCUGGGGUACGGAUUUGGUGGUGUGCGCGAGGUUGCGGGCGGCGGCAGUGCUCAGGCUCUGCCG